UGGGGAAUUUUGCGCAAUGGGGGAAACCCUGACGCAGCAACGCCGCGUGGAGGAUGAAGUCCCUUGGGACGUAAACUCCUUUCGACUAGACGGGCCUCCGGGUGAACAAUCCGGAGGAGUGACGGUACCGGUGGAAGAAGCCCCGGCUAACUUC
This 154-nucleotide ribosomal RNA is filed under the name uncultured bacterium. RNAcentral's name for it is "partial 16S ribosomal RNA". It matches the Rfam family "Bacterial small subunit ribosomal RNA", at positions 355 to 504 of the family's 1533-position model. The record is from RNAcentral.